UCAAUAAGUCUAGCAGAAUGGUUUUGGGAAAGCCAGCCAGAGAGGGUGAAAGCCCCGUAAGCGAAAGACGAGUUGACAUGGCGGUAUCCAGAGUACCACGAGACACGAGAAACCUUGUGGGAAUGAGCGGGGACCACCCCGUAAGGCUAAAUACUUCUUAGUGACCGAUAGCGCAUAGUACUGUGAAGGAAAGGUGAAAAGGACCCCGGGAGGGGAGUGAAAGAGAACCUGAAACCAUAUGUUUACAAGCUGUGGAACAUCUUUAUAUGAUGAACCGCGUACUUUUUGUAGAACGGUCCGGCGAGUUACGCUGGCUGGCGAGGUUAAGCACUGAAGGUGUGGAGCCGAAGGGAAACCAAGUCUGAAUANNNNNNNNNNGGGAAACCAAGUCUGAAUAGGGCGUGAAGUCAGUCAGAGUAGACCCGAAACCGGGUGAUCUAUCCAUGUCCAGGUUGAAGUUGCCGUAAAAGGCAAUGGAGGACCGAACCCACAUCCGUUGAAAAGGGUGGGGAUGAGGUGUGGAUAGGGGAGAAAUUCCAAUCGAACCCGGAGAUAGCUGGUUCUCCUCGAAAUAGCUUUAGGGCUAGCCUCAUACGAGUCUUGCGGAGGUAGAGCACUGAAUUCUUAAGGGGGCGUCAAAGCUUACUAAGAGAUAUCAAACUCCGAAUGCCGCGUAGAUGAUGUAUGGGAGUCAGACUGCACGAGAUAAGUUGGGUAGUCAAAAGGGAAAGAGCCCAGACCUACAGCUAAGGUCCCAAAAUGUGUGUUAAGUGGAAAAGGAUGUGGGAUUUCGAAGACAACUAGGAUGUUGGCUCAGAAGCAGCCAUCCAUUNNNNNNNNNNNNNNNNNAGUGCGUAAUAGCUCACUAGUCGAGAGGUCCUGCGCCGAAAAUGUCCGGGGCUGAAACACACUACCGAAGCUUAGGAAUUAACGAAUGUUAAUUGGUAGAGGAGCAUUCUUAAAGAGACGAAGCUGUACCGAAAGGAGCAGUGGAUUUUUAAGAAGAGAGAAUGCCGGAAUGAGUAGCGAGAGGAAGGUGAGAAUCCUUCCGGCCGAAUAUCUAAGGUUUCCAGCGUAAAGCUGAUCUGCGCUGGGUAAGUCGGGGCCUAAGGCGAGGUCGAAAGACGUAGUCGAUGGAUAACAGGUUGAAAUUCCUGUACUAUGAUAUAACAGAACUGUGGGGACGCAGGGAGAGAGCGCGAGCCGGGAACGGAAAGCCCGGCGCAAGCGAGGUACCGGUCUGUCAGGAAAAUCCGACAGGCAACGGGAAGACGUGAUGCGGACCGAAAAAGAGUAGGGAAGAGCGUGAGCUAACUGCCAAGAAAAGCCGCUAUUGUUUAUAUCAUACCCGUACCGUAAACCGACACAGGUGGAUGAGGAGAGAAUCCUAAGGCCGACGGGAGAAGCAUUGUUAAGGAACUCGGCAAAAUGACUCCGUAACUUCGGGAGAAGGAGUGCCAUGCGAAUGGCCGCAGAGAAUUGGCCCAAGCAACUGUUUAGCAAAAACACAGGUCUAUGCAAAACCGAAAGGUGAGGUAUAUGGGCUGACGCCUGCCCGGUGCUGGAAGGUUAAGGGGAGAGGUUAGCGCAAGCGAAGCUUUGAACUUAAGCCCCAGUAAACGGCGGCCGUAACUAUAACGGUCCUAAGGUAGCGAAAUUCCUUGUCGGGUAAGUUCCGACCCGCACGAAAGGCGUAAUGAUUUGGGCACUGUCUCAACAAUGCACCCGGUGAAAUUGAAAUACCAGUGAAGAUGCUGGUUACCUGCGCCAGGACGGAAAGACCCCAUGGAGCUUUACUCCAGCUUGAUACUGGGAUUCGAUAUUGCAUGUACAGGAUAGGUGGGAGACUAGGAGACGGUAACGCCAGUUGCCGUGGAGUCGAUGUUGGGAUACCACCCUUGCAGUAUUGGGUUUCUAACCAGCAGCCGUGAUCCGGCUGGGGGACAAUGUCAGGUGGGGAGUUUGACUGGGGCGGUCGCCUCCGAAAGGGUAUCGGAGGCGCUCAAAGGUUCCCUCAGAAUGGUUGGAAACCAUUCGAAGAGUGCAAAGGCAGAAGGGAGCUUGACUGCGACACCGACGGGUGGAGCAGGUACGAAAGUAGGACUUAGUGAUCCGGUGGUAUAAAGUGGGAUUGCCAUCGCUCAACGGAUAAAAGCUACCCUGGGGAUAACAGGCUUAUCACUCCCAAGAGUUCACAUCGACGGAGUGGUUUGGCACCUCGAUGUCGGCUCAUCGCAUCCUGGGGCUGAAGUAGGUCCCAAGGGUUGGGCUGUUCGCCCAUUAAAGCGGUACGCGAGCUGGGUUCAGAACGUCGUGAGACAGUUCGGUCCCUAUCCGGCGUGGGCGUAGGAUAUUUGAGAGGAGCUGUCCUUAGUACGAGAGGACCGGGAUGGACUGGCCGCUGGUGUACCUGUUGCAUCGCCAGAUGCAUGGCAGGGUAGCCAAGCCGGGAAGGGAUAAACGCUGAAGGCAUCUAAGCGUGAAGCCCCCCUCAAGAUAAGAUAUCCCAUAACGUCAAGUUAGUAAGACCCCUUGAAGACGACGAGGUAGAUAGGGCAGAGGUGGAAGUGUGGUAACACAUGGAGCUGACUGUUACUAAUAGGUCGAGGGCAU
This 2613-nucleotide ribosomal RNA is filed under the name Micrococcus flavus. Its description in RNAcentral is "23S ribosomal RNA". It matches the Rfam family "Bacterial large subunit ribosomal RNA", at positions 320 to 2925 of the family's 2925-position model. Lineage: Bacteria; Bacillati; Actinomycetota; Actinomycetes; Micrococcales; Micrococcaceae. The record is from RNAcentral.